GAUGAACGCUGGCGGCGUGCCUAAUACAUGCAAGUCGAGCGAACGGACGAGAAGCUUGCUUUUCUGAUGUUAGCGGCGGACGGGUGAGUAACACGUGGAUAACCUACCUAUAAGACUGGGAUAACUUCGGGAAACCGGAGCUAAUACCGGAUAAUAUUUUGAACCGCAUGGUUCAAAAGUGAAAGACGGUCUUGCUGUCACUUAUAGAUGGAUCCGCGCUGCAUUAGCUAGUUGGUAAGGUAACGGCUUACCAAGGCAACGAUGCAUAGCCGACCUGAGAGGGUGAUCGGCCACACUGGAACUGAGACACGGUACAGACUCCUACGGGAGGCAGCAGUAGGGAAUCUUCCGCAAUGGGCGAAAGCCUGACGGAGCAACGCCGCGUGAGUGAUGAAGGUCUUCGGAUCGUAAAACUCUGUUAUUAGGGAAGAACAUAUGUGUAAGUAACUGUGCACAUCUUGACGGUACCUAAUCAGAAAGCCACGGCUAACUACGUG
RNAcentral lists this ribosomal RNA (497 nucleotides) under uncultured bacterium. RNAcentral's name for it is "partial 16S ribosomal RNA". It matches the Rfam family "Bacterial small subunit ribosomal RNA", at positions 28 to 507 of the family's 1533-position model. The record is from RNAcentral.